GUACACUCCUGCGGGAGGCAGCAGUGGGGAAUAUUGGACAAUGGGCGCAAGCCUGAUCCAGCCAUGCCGCGUGAGUGAUGAAGGCCCUAGGGUUGUAAAGCUCUUUCACCGGUGAAGAUAAUGACGGUAACCGGAGAAGAAGCCCCGGCUAACUUCGUGCCAGCAGCCGCGGUAAUACGAACGGGGCUAGCGUUGUUCGGAUUUACUGGGCGUAAAGCGCACGUAGGCGGACUAUUAAGUCAGGGGUGAAAUCCCGGGGCUCAACCCCGGAACUGCCUUUGAUACUGGUAGUCUUGAGUUCGAGAGAGGUGAGUGGAAUUCCGAGUGUAGAGGUGAAAUGCGUAGAUAUUCGGAGGAACACCAGUGGCGAAGGCGGCUCACUGGCUCGAUACUGACGCUGAGGUGCGAAAGCGUGGGGAGCGAACAGGAUUAGAAACCCCAGUAGUCCC
RNAcentral lists this ribosomal RNA (449 nucleotides) under uncultured organism. RNAcentral describes it as "partial 16S ribosomal RNA". It matches the Rfam family "Bacterial small subunit ribosomal RNA", at positions 331 to 797 of the family's 1533-position model. The record is from RNAcentral.